UACGGGGGGGGCAAGCGUUGUUCGGAAUUACUGGGCGUAAAGGGCUCGUAGGCGGCCAACUAGGUCAGACGUGAAAUCCCUCGGCUUAACCGGGGAACUGCAUCUGAUACUGGAUGGCUUGAGUUCGGGAGAGGGAUGCGGAAUUCCAGGUGUAGCGGUGAAAUGCGUAGAUAUCGGGAGGAACACCUAUUGCGAAGGCAGCUCGCUGGGACGUUACUGACGCUGAGACGCGAAAGCGUGGGGAGCAAACAGG
Molecule: ribosomal RNA, 253 nt
Filed under: uncultured bacterium
Lineage: Bacteria
Description: partial 16S ribosomal RNA
Rfam family: Bacterial small subunit ribosomal RNA
Source: RNAcentral